AGGUGCCAGAGUAGGGCAGGGGAGCCAAUCUCCAAGCACCUCUCCAGCUCUGCACUCCCUGCAGAAAUGUUGCUGACCAUGUGCACUGCUGGUGAGCACCAUGGCCCCUGGGGACCAGCCAAGGAUCUGUCAGGAGGGCAGGAGCACUGGUGAAUGCUGCAGUUGGCAGGGAAGAGCUCCAAGGAGCAGUGCUGGGAGGUGAGGAGGGAGCAGGCUCAGGGCUGAGGCUCUCAUCACAGCAUUCAGCAUGGACAGACUCCUCAAGCUGGCCUGGGGCACAUGAUUCCCAACAUAAAUCCUCCCAGGAAGAUGUCCUGUGCUUUAAAGUCAUGUCUUCCUCUCUUUCCUCUGGAAAAUGAGGAUAAUAAUACCUGAUCUGUCUUCUCUGAGUGUUGCUUAAUAUUUAAAUAUUGCUUUGAUCCCAUGAAGUGCUGAGGAUUAUUACUUUAUAAUCUCUAUAAUUCUAUUAUUCCAUGAGUGAAGUGAUUCAAAUAAAAUUGAAAGGAUCUUUUAUGCUGA
Molecule: long non-coding RNA, 519 nt
Organism: Parus major (Great Tit)
Lineage: Eukaryota; Metazoa; Chordata; Aves; Passeriformes; Paridae
Exons: 2
Source: RefSeq, a predicted model, not a curated record